Molecule: ribosomal RNA, 433 nt
Filed under: uncultured bacterium
Lineage: Bacteria
Description: partial 16S ribosomal RNA
Rfam family: Bacterial small subunit ribosomal RNA
Source: RNAcentral
AACGAACGCUGGCGGCAUGCCUAACACAUGCAAGUCGAACGAGACCUUCGGGUCUAGUGGCGCACGGGUGCGUAACGCGUGGGAACCUGCCCUUAGGUUCGGAUUAACUCCCCGAAAGGGGUGCUAAUACCGGAUAAUGUCUUCGGACCAAAGAUUUAUCGCCUUUGGAUGGGCCCGCGUUGGAUUAGUUAGUUGGUAGUGUAAAAGCCUACCAAGGUGACGAUCCAUAGCUGGUCUGAGAGGAUGAUCAGCCACACUGGGACUGAGACACGGCCCAGACUCCUACGGGAGGCAGCAGUGGGGAAUAUUGGACAAUGGGCGAAAGCCUGAUCCAGCAAUGCCGCGUGAGUGAUGAAGGCCUUAGGGUUGUAAAGCUCUUUUACCCGGGAUGAUAAUGACAGUACCGGGAGAAUAAGCUCCGGCUAACUCCGUG